GCUGCGGUAGCUCAGUGGUAGAGCACUCUCUUGGUAAGGGAGAGGUCGAGAGUUCAAUCCUCUCUCGCAGCACCA
This 75-nucleotide transfer RNA is filed under the name Candidatus Tokpelaia sp. JSC189. RNAcentral's name for it is "tRNA-Thr". It matches the Rfam family "tRNA". From Rfam's summary of the family: Transfer RNA (tRNA) molecules are approximately 80 nucleotides in length. Their secondary structure includes four short double-helical elements and three loops (D, anti-codon, and T loops). Further hydrogen bonds mediate the characteristic L-shaped molecular structure. tRNAs have two regions of fundamental functional importance: the anti-codon, which is responsible for specific mRNA codon recognition, and the 3' end, to which the tRNAs corresponding amino acid is attached (by aminoacyl-tRNA synthetases). tRNAs cope with the degeneracy of the genetic code in two manners: having more than one tRNA (with a specific anti-codon) for a particular amino acid; and 'wobble' base-pairing, i.e. permitting non-standard base-pairing at the 3rd anti-codon position. Lineage: Bacteria; Pseudomonadati; Pseudomonadota; Alphaproteobacteria; Hyphomicrobiales. The record is from RNAcentral.